UACGGGGGGGGCAAGCGUUGUUCGGAAUUACUGGGCGUAAAGGGUUCGUAGGUGGUCAACUAAGUCAGACGUGAAAUCCCUCAGCUUAACUGGGGAACUGCGUCUGAUACUGGUGGACUUGAGUGCAGGAGAGGAACGCGGAAUUCCAGGUGUAGCGGUGAAAUGCGUAGAUAUCUGGAGGAACACCGGUGGCGAAGGCGGCUCGCUGGGCCGUUGCUGACGCUGAGGCGCGAAAGCGUGGGGAGCAAACAGG
This 253-nucleotide ribosomal RNA is filed under the name uncultured bacterium. RNAcentral describes it as "partial 16S ribosomal RNA". It matches the Rfam family "Bacterial small subunit ribosomal RNA", at positions 524 to 776 of the family's 1533-position model. The record is from RNAcentral.